UAAUACGAGGGGUGCUAGCGUUGUCCGGAAUCAUUGGGCGUAAAGGGUCCGUAGGUGUCUUUGCAAGUCGUUUGUUACAUUCACCGGCUUAACCGGUGGCCUGCAAUCGAAACUGCAAGGAUAGAGUUCGAGAGAGGAAAGUGGAAUUCCUGGUGUAGCGGUGACAUGCGUAGAUAUCAGGAGGAACACCAAUGGCGAAGGCAGCUUUCUGGCUCGAUACUGACACUGAGGGACGAAAGCGUGGGGAGCAAACAGGAUUAGAUACCCUGGUAGUCCACGCCGUAAACGAUGAGUACUUGAUGUCGGAGGAUUCGACCCCUUCGGUAUCGUAGCUAACGCGUUAAGUACUCCGCCUGGGGACUACGGCCGCAAGGCUG
RNAcentral lists this ribosomal RNA (377 nucleotides) under uncultured bacterium. RNAcentral describes it as "bacterial SSU rRNA". It matches the Rfam family "Bacterial small subunit ribosomal RNA", at positions 521 to 896 of the family's 1533-position model. The record is from RNAcentral.